Molecule: long non-coding RNA, 616 nt
Organism: Pogonomyrmex barbatus (red harvester ant)
Lineage: Eukaryota; Metazoa; Arthropoda; Insecta; Hymenoptera; Formicidae
Source: RefSeq, a predicted model, not a curated record
GAGAGAGAGAAGCUUCUCGAGUGUCGCGUAUUCUCGACUCCGUCUAAGUAAACUUGAGCGCGUUCGAAAUGUAAAAAUAAAUAUAUCUGGAAAGCUGAAAGGAUUAUUUUCAAAAAUAUAUACACACGUCAAUAAUAAUAACAACUUGUAGACGAAGUGAAUAUGAAUGGCAACAAGCUUCCCCUUUGCCAAAUGAAGAAGAGCGACAGGAAAUAAAAAUAAUUUAAAAAAUAAUAAUCGCGCACGCGAAAUAUGUAAGACGCGCUAAAAAAUUUAAUCGAAUAGCGAUUACUCGAAUUAAUGAAUGGAAUCUCAAUCGUACGUAAAAAGAGAUAGGAUCGAUUUCUCUGGAGUAUCAUCAAAAGCAUCGCCGCGUGCAAUUCACAGGGUCAGCGAUCGAAUGAACGCGUCGCUUUAUUUAUAUCGAUCGAAACGCACCGUACUCUCUCAGCGAUAAUAAUUGUGUUUGCCUGAUUCGUCUUGUCAAUUCAUUCCGCGCUUAAUCGUAAAAGUGAGACGCGCAACUGAUAACGGAGCAUGUAAACGGCUCAUCGUGACUCAUUUCGAAAAGUAGCAAUUGUUCGUCGCGAUAAGAACGUUGGCGCGUACGACCAAA